AACAAGGAAAAGGAGCUGGUAUCAGGCUCAAUUUUAAGCCCACGACACCUAGCCACGCCACGCCCACAAGGGUAUUCAGCAGUGAUAAACCUUGUUUAUAAGCGCAAGCUUGAAUCAGUUAUGGUAAAGAGGGCCGGCAAAUCCGGUGCCAGCCGCCGCGGCUACACCGUUAGGCCCAAGUUGACACACACCGGCGUUAAGCGUGAUUAGAGUGAUUACACUGAUUAGAGUUAAACCCAAACUUAGUCGUGAUACACUUGUUCCCGGGAAACCCAAAAACGAAAGUUACUCUAACCAACCCACUUGACCCCACGACAGCUAGGACACAAACUGGGAUUAGGUACCCCACUAUGCCUAGCCGUAAAAUAUACACUCACCCCCACAAAUCGCCAGGGAAUUACGAGCCCAAGCUUAAAACCCAAAGGACGGGACGGGGUCCCACCCACCUAGAGGAGCCUGUUCUAUAAUCGAUUCCCCCCGAUAAACCUCACCACUUCUGGCCAACUCAGCCUGUAUACCUCCGUCGUAAGCUUACCAUGUGAACGAAACCAGUGAGCCAAAAGAUCCAACAUCAGCACGUCAGGUCAAGGUGCAGCUAACGAACUGGAAAGAAAUGGGCUACAAUUUCUACCAUAGAACAAACGAAAGGCUACAUGAAACAUAGUCACUGAAGGCGGAUUUAGCAGUAAAAAGAAAA
Molecule: ribosomal RNA, 697 nt
Filed under: Chiasmocleis quilombola
Lineage: Eukaryota; Metazoa; Chordata; Amphibia; Anura; Microhylidae
Description: partial 12S ribosomal RNA
Rfam family: Bacterial small subunit ribosomal RNA
Source: RNAcentral